CGACCGGCGCACGGGUGAGUAACACGUAUGCAACCUGGCCGUCACAGGUGGAUAACCGGAAGAAAUUCCGACUAAUACAGCAUAACACUCCUGAGGGACAUCCUUCGGGAGUCAAAGGAGGCAACUCCGGUGACGGAUGGGCAUGCGGCGCAUUAGGUAGUUGGUAGGGUAACGGCCUACCAAGCCGACGAUGCGUAGGGGUUCUGAGAGGAGGGUCCCCCACAUUGGAACUGAGACACGGUCCAAACUCCUACGGGAGGCAGCAG
This 266-nucleotide ribosomal RNA is filed under the name uncultured bacterium. Its description in RNAcentral is "partial 16S ribosomal RNA". It matches the Rfam family "Bacterial small subunit ribosomal RNA", at positions 92 to 354 of the family's 1533-position model. The record is from RNAcentral.